Molecule: long non-coding RNA, 612 nt
Filed under: Gallus gallus (chicken)
Lineage: Eukaryota; Metazoa; Chordata; Aves; Galliformes; Phasianidae
Source: RNAcentral
UCUUCAUGCCCCAUAUGGUGAACUGAAGAAAUGCUACAGGUAUUCCACUGUAUUCCUGUGACGCUUUCUUAGUAUGGAUUAACUCACAUCUGCACCACAAGAUGCAAGUAAUGCAAGUACAAACACAGUCCCUUUCCAUGCUUCUCUCCAGAAAGUGCUGCGUAUUAACAGAAAAUAUUGCAGGCAAACCACAGUUCUAUUCAUUCUGCAGCAUUGGAACCAGUGUUUUUUCCAUCACAUGCUACAAUUUUCACUUUAUCCACUUUCACAAGCUCAGUGACCUCCCUGAAUUCAACAUCAUUCAGUACAAAUGUCCAUACGUUGUCACAGAACCUGUAUGUAUUCAGAGAUCCCCUGAAAUUGACUCUGUUCCUGACUCGUUGUGCCAGUGCCGAAUUUAUAGCUUUAUCAAACUGAAGUAGCACCUGAAGGGCCAGCUGAGGAGUGAUCUGCUGUGACUGAAUGAGCUCGUCCAGGCUCUCCUGCAGGCUGUUGCCCAGCGUGGUGUUCCGGUACAGCUGAUAGGCCAUGGUUCUGUGGGGCGCUGGCGGCCUUACUGACCAUCCACGGCUCGGGACGCCUGCUGUAUCCUUGCUCUCAUUAAUAAACCAG